RNAcentral lists this ribosomal RNA (380 nucleotides) under uncultured euryarchaeote. Its description in RNAcentral is "bacterial SSU rRNA". It matches the Rfam family "Archaeal small subunit ribosomal RNA", at positions 471 to 851 of the family's 1478-position model. Lineage: Archaea; Methanobacteriati; Methanobacteriota. The record is from RNAcentral.
UAAUACCGGCGCCUCAAGUGGUAGUCGCUUUUAUUGGGCCUAAAACGUCCGUAGCCGGUUUGGUACAUUCGUGGGUAAAUCAAGGCGCUCAACGUCUUGAAUUCUGCGAGCACGGCCAGACUUGGGACCGGGUGAGGUGUGGGGUACUCUCAGGGUAGGGGUAAAAUCCUGUCAUCCUGAGAGGACCACCUGUUGCGAAGGCGCCACACUAGAACGGAUCCGACGGUCAGGGACGAAGCCUAGGGGCACGAACCGGAUUAGAUACCCGGGUAGUCCUAGGUGUAAACGCUGUGGACUUGAUGUUGGGAGUGCUCCGAGCACCCUCAGUGUCGAAGCGAAGGUGAUAAGUCCACUGCCUGGGGAGUACGGUCGCAAGGCUG